GUGGGGAGGCUGGGGCGCGGGGCGGGCGUUGUGUGGGGGCAACCAGGCUCCCGCCGCCGCCGCCGCCAGCAAGUCCAAUACUAGCAGAUCGGCGGUAAGGAUGGAGAGGAAGAGACUCCCGGCAGUCGUCCUACUGACGGAACGCAACGCCCCUCUGCUUCCCCAUACCUUCAGUAAGAUGGGUUGUGAGCAGCAACGCCACGUGAGGGCAGUUGGCUUGGAGCCCUCAAAGGAAAACUGAGUUCUGCAGCUGGGCUGACGCAGCGUGGUGGAACAGGGCCAGCUCGUGUGGAAAGGUUACUUGAUUCAGAGGAAAAGGCACAAGCUCUGCCAUCUCCUGUGGCUCAGAGUGUUCCACUAGAUUUCUGCAUCUGAUUAGAAGAUGAGGAAGGUAAAUGGAGGAGCACAGGUACCAUUAUAAGAACUGAGUCUACAUUGAUGAACACAGCCAACAGGGGGCCCCUAUUUGGGCUUUUACCAUUCUGUAGAGGAGUUUUACUUUGCCUGUAAAGGUCGGUAUAAUCAAAGUUAUGGUAUUCCCAGUAGUUAUGGAUGGAUGUGAGAGCUGGACAAUAAAAAAGUUUGAAUGCUGAAGAACUGAUACCUUUGAGCUGCGGUGCUGAAGAAGACUCUUGACAGUCCCUUGGACUGCAAGGAGAUCCAGCCAGUCCAUCCUAAAGGAGAUCAACCCUGAAUAUUCAUUGGGAGCACUGGUGCUGAAGCUGAAACUCCACUACUUUGGCCACCUGAUGAGAAGAGCCGACUCAUUGAAAAAGACCCUGAUGCUGGGAAAGAUUGAAGGUGGGAGGAAAAGGGGGGCAACAGAGGAUGAGAUGGUUGGAUGGAAUCACCGACUCAAUGGACAUGAGUUUGAGCAAUUUUCAGGAGAAGGUGAAGGACAGGGAAGUCUGGUGUGCUGCAGUCCUUGGGGUCACAAAGAGUCAGACACAAGUAAGCAACUGAAUAGCAAGAUGAUGAGAGUCACAGGUACACAAUUUUCAGGAACUGACUUUAUUUUUGCUUAACUUUUUUUAACAUUGUUAUUAAUUA
This is a long non-coding RNA of Dama dama (fallow deer), 1050 nucleotides long. RefSeq lists it as uncharacterized. The transcript is spliced from 4 exons. The record is from RefSeq and is a predicted model, not a curated record. Lineage: Eukaryota; Metazoa; Chordata; Mammalia; Artiodactyla; Cervidae.